UAGUGAUUUCUGGUUGAUCCUGGCGGAGGCUACUGCUAUUGGGGUUCGAUUAAGCCAUGCAAGUUGAACGAUUCUUCGGAAUCGUGGCGAACGGCUCAGUAACACGUGGAUAACCUACCCUUAGGACCGGUAUAACCCUGGGAAACUGGGGACAAUCCCGGAUAGGUGAUUUUUUCUGUAAUGAUUUUUCAUUUAAAUGCUCCGGCGCCUGAGGAUGGGUCUGCGGCAGAUUAGGUAGUUGGUAGGGUAAUGGCCUACCAAGCCGGUGAUCUGUACGGGUUGUGAGAGCAAGAGCCCGGAGAUGGAACCUGAGACAAGGUUCCAGGCCCUACGGGGCGCAGCAGGCGCGAAACCUCCGCAAUGCGAGAAAUCGCGACGGGGGGACCCCAAGUGCCACUCUUAACGGGGUGGCUUUUCUUGAGUGUAAAAAGCUUUUGGAAUAAGGGCUGGGCAAGACCGGUGCCAGCCGCCGCGGUAACACCGGCAGCUCUAGUGGUAGCCAUUUUUAUUGGGCCUAAAGCGUUCGUAGCCGGUUUGAUAAGUCUCUGGUGAAAUCCUGUAGCUUAACUGUGGGAAUUGCUGGAGAUACUAUUAGACUUGAGGUCGGGAGAGGUUAGCGGUACUCCCAGGGUAGGGGUGAAAUCCUGUAAUCCUGGGAGGACCACCUGUGGCGAAGGCGGCUAACUGGAACGAACCUGACGGUGAGGGACGAAAGCCAGGGGCGCGAACCGGAUUAGAUACCCGGGUAGUCCUGGCCGUAAACG
This 764-nucleotide ribosomal RNA is filed under the name uncultured archaeon. RNAcentral describes it as "bacterial SSU rRNA". It matches the Rfam family "Archaeal small subunit ribosomal RNA", at positions 1 to 759 of the family's 1478-position model. The record is from RNAcentral.